UCGUCCACCUGCUGGGGACAGAUGAAAUGGAUGUGGGCGUCGAUGCCGCCGGCGGUGAGGAUGGACUUCUCACCGGCAAUGGCUUCCGUGCCGGGACCGAUGACGAUGUCAACGCCCGGCUGCACAUCGGGAUUGCCGGCCUUGCCGAUGCCGCUGAUGCGGCCGUCCUUGAUGCCGAUAUCGGCCUUGACGAUGCCCCAGUGGUCGAGGAUCAGGGCGUUGGUAAUGACCACGUCCACGGCAUCGCUACCGCCGGCCUGGCUCUGGCCCAUGCCGUCGCGG
Molecule: small RNA, 282 nt
Filed under: Desulfosarcina cetonica
Lineage: Bacteria; Pseudomonadati; Thermodesulfobacteriota; Desulfobacteria; Desulfobacterales; Desulfosarcinaceae
Description: 5_ureB_sRNA
Rfam family: 5' ureB small RNA
Source: RNAcentral